AGCUGGUUGAACGCUACCUAAUGUAACCGCUCCAUUCAUACAGUAUGGUUUGCAUGCUGGGAAAAGGGUUGAUCUUUGCUGAUGUUGUCUUGAUGUGAGAGAACCAGUUGGA
Molecule: non-coding RNA, 112 nt
Organism: Pimephales promelas (fathead minnow)
Lineage: Eukaryota; Metazoa; Chordata; Actinopteri; Cypriniformes; Leuciscidae
Source: RefSeq, a predicted model, not a curated record